RNAcentral lists this ribosomal RNA (822 nucleotides) under uncultured organism. RNAcentral's name for it is "bacterial SSU rRNA". It matches the Rfam family "Bacterial small subunit ribosomal RNA", at positions 518 to 1341 of the family's 1533-position model. The record is from RNAcentral.
CGGUAAUACGUAGGUGGCGAGCGUUAUUCGGAAUUAUUGGGCCUAGAGGGUUCGUAGGGGGUAAUGUAAGUCCGGUGUGAAAUCUCGAGGCUCAACCUCGAAACUGCAUUGGAAACUGCGUUACUUGAGUGUCAGAGAGGAAAGCGGAAUUCCUGGUGUAGCGGUGGAAUGCGUAGAUAUCAGGAAGAACACCGACGGCGAAGGCAGCUUUCUGGCUGACAACUGACCCUGAUGAACGAAAGCUAGGGUAGCGAACAGGAUUAGAUACCCUGGUAGUCCUAGCUGUAAACGUUGUGCACUGGAUGUGGGCGGAUUUGGUCCCGUCUGUGUCUGAGCGAAGGCGUUAAGUGCACCGCCUGGGGACUACGGCCGCAAGGCUAAAACUCAAAGGAAUUGACGGGGGCCCGCACAAGCGGUGGAGCAUGUGGCUCAAUUCGAGGCAACGCGAAGAACCUUACCUGGGUUUGACAUAUACCUGACCGCCGGUGAGAGCCGGUUUCUCUUUGAGCAGGUAUACAGGUGCUGCAUGGCUGUCGACAGCUCGUGCUGUGAAGUGUUCGGUUAAGUCCGGCAACGAGCGCAACCCACGCUGUUAGUUACCAUCAGGUGAAGCUGGGGACUCUAACAGGACUGCCCGUGCUAAGCGGGAGGAAGGCGUGGACGACGUCAAGUCCGCAUGGCCCUUACGCCCAGGGCUGCACACGUGCUACAAUGGCCGGUACAGAGGGUCGCCACUCUGCGAAGAGGAGCUAAUCCCGAAAACCGGCCCCAGUUCGGAUUGGAGUCUGCAAUUCGACUCCAUGAAGUAGGAAUCGCUAGAAA